GAUGAACGCUAGCGGCAGGCCUAAUACAUGCAAGUCGAACGGGAUUGAGGAGCUUGCUCCUCAUGAGAGUGGCGCACGGGUGCGUAACACGUAUGUAACCUACCUUAAUCAGGGGAAUAGCCUCUCGAAAGAGAGAUUAAGACCGCAUAAAAUCACACUAUGGCAUCAUAGAAUGAUCAAAUAUUUAUAGGAUUAAGAUGGGCAUGCGGAACAUUAGCUAGUUGGUAAGGUAACGGCUUACCAAGGCUACGAUGUUUAGGGGAUCUGAGAGGAUGGCCCCCCACACUGGUCCUGAGACACGGACCAGACUCCUACGGGAGGCAGCAGUAAGAAAUAUUGGUCAAUGGGCGGAAGCCUGAACCAGCCAUGCCGCGUGCAGGAAGACGGCCCUACGGGUUGUAAACUGCUUUUGUACCGGAAUAAACCUACUUACGUGUAAGUAGCUGAAUGUACGGUAAGAAUAAGGAUCGGCUAACUCCGUGCCAGCAGCCGCCGUAA
This 498-nucleotide ribosomal RNA is filed under the name uncultured bacterium. RNAcentral's name for it is "partial 16S ribosomal RNA". It matches the Rfam family "Bacterial small subunit ribosomal RNA", at positions 28 to 523 of the family's 1533-position model. The record is from RNAcentral.